Alligator mississippiensis (American alligator) is the source of this 2133-nucleotide long non-coding RNA. RefSeq lists it as uncharacterized. NCBI's taxonomy places the organism in Eukaryota, Metazoa, Chordata, Crocodylia, Alligatoridae. The record is from RefSeq and is a predicted model, not a curated record. The transcript has 3 exons.
UGACAUUAUUCAUUCUGGGCCUGAUUCUGACAAUCUUUCUCCUACUGAGUGACAUGCUGAAAACAGCCCAUACUACUAUCCAUUGACUCAUAAAGUAAGCUAGUGAGCCCCUCUUAGAAAAAGUAAAAAAGGAGGACCUGGAGAUCUACAGACUGGUGAGCCUGCCCAUGGCAUGGAGGGGGUGAACUGACAGGGGAUCUGCCUGUAAUAAUGCUGGAUUGAAGCAUUAUUACAGGCAGAUGAUAAGACCUAGCAGCAGCAGCAGCAGCAUAUGGUUCGAGGGAGAGGAGUAUACCAAGCCCUGAGAGAAGGUUUCCUGCUGAAAGAAGGCUCUGCAGAGUGCAACAUUUCCAUUCACACAUGAGUUGUCAAUGCUUUGCUCUGUUUGUCUUUUAACCUUGCCUUCAGCUUCUUUCUGACAAUGGGCUUCACUCAAGCUCUAAUAGCUUAGCAUUUUUGGCCACUUGUACACAUGAUGGGGGUUUAGUUUUCCCUAAAUUGAAAUGGUGGGUUUUUAAUUAUGUAGAUCAGCAACCCACCGUUUCAAUUUAGGGACUUCUGUCACUGUGACAGAACAGUGAUGGUCCCAGUGAUAGGUGUCAGCUCGCCCCCUCCACACUGCGGACAGGUUCUACCAAAAAAAUAUAAAAAUUGAGGCAAGAGGUCCAAUCUCUUCCCCCCCCCCCCCGAGCUUUCCUGCCUCUCCCACAUGCUAGCAGCCCACUCAGGAAGUCCCAGGGGAGGGGGCCCCACUGCCAUGGAGGGAAGGAUCCCCACCCCCAAAGCUCAGGGGCUGUGUGGACCAGCAGGAGCUCACCCCCCACAGUGGGAGAGACAGGCAGGCUCUGUUGGAGGGGAAAAAAGCAGUCCACUCACCACUUGUUUUUUUCUCCUUCUUGGUGGAUCCUGAGCAUGCAAGUUGAUGGGCCAUGCAGCCCCUGAGCUGAAGAGAAGGGGGUGGUGCUUCCCUCCAUGGCAGUAGUUCCCCCUGGAGCCACCCAGGUGGGGUGCUAGUAGGCAGGUGCUGCCCCAGGUGUCAGGCAGCACCCAACCUGAUCCAGUGGUGCACGGGGCACUGGAAGCUUGUGUGUACUUAAAGAAGCAUGGGCUUGGCAGGAUUCCAGCACCCCAUGCACUGUCCUUGCUGUCUUCCUACCACCUGGUACUACCCUGGCUUGCCCCUGAGGAAGUGUAGAAAAGCAGCAGGAGGACAUCUGGGUGUGCUGAUGGCCAGAUAAGGCAGCAGGGACAGUGUAUGGAGUGCAGGAAGCCCAUCAAGCCUGAGCUUCCUUGAGCACACCUGGGCUUCCACCACCCUGUGCACCACCCCUACCACCUUCUCCAGACGUAUUGCAGCAAUAUGUUACAUAGCAAACUAAAAGACAUCAGAUGUAUUUUACUUUGCUAUAUAACAAAGUAAUUUAAAGUGAUAUAUGCCCCCACACAUGUACUGUGUGAUAAAAUUAAAAUGAAAUAUGCUGCUGCAGGUGUAAACAGUGACACCUGUCAACAAGCAAAGUGACCCCGCCAGAUUAUUGCACCAAAGUAUUAAGUAACACAACCCUCUGUAAAUAGUGAUGCGGUGGCGGACUGUUAAGUGACGCAACCAUCUAUGGCUGGUGAUGCGGUGGCGGAGUGUAUCAGCAAUUUGACCCAUCAUGCGAGCGGCGCGUGAUCGCAAUGUUAAGCAGAGCGUGAUCACCUGUGGUCUACCCAAUCAAAGACCACCUAAUGGGCAUGGCUGGCUGGCCAGCAUGUCCAUGGGUUCCAGAAGGUACCAUUAGGGGAGCUUUCUGAUUGACCAGAAACUUUAUAUAGGGGACUGCACGCCUUAGUGCAGGGUCCCCAGGCUCUGAAUCUCAGGACGGGCUGAUCACCCGUCUUGGGGCCUGGUCAGACCCCUAGGUCUUUAGCAGAAGCUGCUCCAGUCGCUCCAAGCAUCAUAAACUUACUGCCUCACAUAGUACCUUGUCCUAACCAGACACUGUACUUGUAUACUGCAGUCUCCACCCAUCACCCAUCGCUACCCAUCGCUUGUAUAUAUUCCCUUGCUGUUGUAUAUGGUUCGUUAUCACCAAGUUGUUUUGACCUACUGUUCAUCAGCCUUGUAAGUAAAUAUCAAACUUUAUUUCA